GGCGUCACAUAUCUUUUUUCCUUGCUGGUGUUUUUAUUUUCAGAGCCUCUCCUCCUCUUCCUCUCUUCCUCCUCCAGAUAUCUCAUUGCUUUGGAGUAUUCAAGGUAUUUGAAGAAGAAGGAAGAGAUCAGCCGUCGAAGUUGCUUGCAGGCUAGCACCUCCAAGAUCCUAAUCUACGUCAGUCUUCACAUAAAUUUUCUGUAGAGGCCAAACGACUUCGUGUGGCUGCGAGCGAUCUAAAGAACAUCCUCUCCAAGCAUUGGACUAG
Molecule: long non-coding RNA, 268 nt
Filed under: Elaeis guineensis (African oil palm)
Lineage: Eukaryota; Viridiplantae; Streptophyta; Magnoliopsida; Arecales; Arecaceae
Description: long non-coding RNA (EGUI_LNC069819)
Source: RNAcentral